ACGGCUCAGUAACACGUGGACAACCUGCCCUUAGGUUGGGUAUAAACCCGGGAAACUGGGUAUAAUACCCGAUAGGUCUCGAUUGCUGGAAUGCAUCGAGAUUUAAAGCUCCGGCGCCUAAGGAUGGGUCUGCGGCCUAUCAGGUAGUAGUGGGUGUAGCGUACCUACUAGCCUACGACGGGUACGGGUUGUGAGAGCAAGAGCCCGGAGAUGGAUUCUGAGACACGAAUCCAGGCCCUACGGGGUGCAGCAGGCGCGAAAACUUUACAAUGCUGGCAACAGCGAUAAGGGAACCUCGAGUGCCAGGUUACAAAUCUGGCUGUCGAGAUGCCUAAAAAGCAUUUCAUAGCAAGGGCCGGGCAAGACCGGUGCCAGCCGCCGCGGUAACACCGGCGGCUCGAGUGGUAACCGUUAUUAUUGGGUCUAAAGGGUCUGUAGCCGGCCGGAUAAGUCUCUUGAGAAAUCUGGCAGCUUAACUGUCAGGCUUUCAGGAGAUACUGUCUGGCUCGAGGCCGGGAGAGGUGAGAGGUACUUCAGGGGUAGGGGUGAAAUCUUGUAAUCCUUGAAGGACCACCAGUGGCGAAGGCGUCUCACCAGAACGGACCUGACGGCAAGGGACGAAAGCUAGGGGCACGAACCGGAUUAGAUACCCGGGUAGUCCUAGCCGUAAACGAUACUAGCUAGGUGUCGGCCACGGUGCGACCGUUGUCGGUGCCGUAGGGAAGCCGUGAAGCGAGCCACCUGGGAAGUACGGCCGCAAGGCUGAAACUUAAAGGAAUUGGCGGGGGAGCAC
RNAcentral lists this ribosomal RNA (793 nucleotides) under uncultured Methanotrichaceae archaeon. RNAcentral's name for it is "bacterial SSU rRNA". It matches the Rfam family "Archaeal small subunit ribosomal RNA", at positions 85 to 879 of the family's 1478-position model. The record is from RNAcentral. Lineage: Archaea; Methanobacteriati; Methanobacteriota; Methanomicrobia; Methanotrichales; Methanotrichaceae.